CAGAUGAGCCUGCGGUCCCCAUCAGCUAGUUGGUAGGGUAACGGCCUACCAAGGCAAUGACGGGUAGCUGGUCUGAGAGGAUGAUCAGCCACACUGGAACUGAAACACGGUCCAGACUCCUACGGGAGGCAGCAGUGGGGAAUCUUGCGCAAUGGACGAAAGUCUGACGCAGCCACGCCGCGUGAGUGAAGAAGGCCUUCGGGUUGUAAAGCUCUGUCGCCCGGGACGAACAUCAUUAUCGUUAACAGCGGUAGUGACUGACGGUACCGGGAGAGGAAGCACCGGCUAACUCUGUGCCAGCAGCCGCGGUAA
RNAcentral lists this ribosomal RNA (312 nucleotides) under uncultured Syntrophobacteraceae bacterium. Its description in RNAcentral is "bacterial SSU rRNA". It matches the Rfam family "Bacterial small subunit ribosomal RNA", at positions 222 to 523 of the family's 1533-position model. Lineage: Bacteria; Pseudomonadati; Thermodesulfobacteriota; Syntrophobacteria; Syntrophobacterales; Syntrophobacteraceae. The record is from RNAcentral.